This 105-nucleotide small nuclear RNA is filed under the name Meriones unguiculatus (Mongolian gerbil). The record is from RNAcentral. Lineage: Eukaryota; Metazoa; Chordata; Mammalia; Rodentia; Muridae.
GUCUUCCUCCAGCAGCACAGACAGUAAAGUUGUACUGAUACAGGGAAGAAUUGCCUGGCCUCUGCACAAUCAUGCACUAAGAUUUGUGAAGUGCAUCAUCUUUGG